GCCUAAUACAUGCAAGUCGAACGAUAUUAAGGGGCUUGCUCCUUAAGAAAGUGGCGCACGGGUGCGUAACGCGUAUGCAACCUACCUUAAUCAGGGGGAUAGCCCGAAGAAAUUCGGAUUAACACCGCAUAAAAACACAGGAUAGCAUUAUCCAAUGUUCAAAUAUUUAUAGGAUUAAGAUGGGCAUGCGUGUCAUUAGCUAGUUGGCGGGGUAACGGCCCACCAAGGCGACGAUGACUAGGGGAUCUGAGAGGAUGACCCCCCACACUGGUACUGAGACACGGACCAGACUCCUACGGGAGGCAGCAGUAAGGAAUAUUGGUCAAUGGAGGCAACUCUGAACCAGCCAUGCCGCGUGCAGGAAGACUGCCCUAUGGGUUGUAAACUGCUUUUAUCCGGGAAUAAACCUUUCUACGUGUAGAGAGCUGAAUGUACCGGAAGAAUAAGGAUCGGCUAACUCCGUGCCAGCAGCCGCGGUAAUACGGAGGAUCCAAGCGUUAUCCGGAUUUAUUGGGUUUAAAGGGUGCGUAGGCGGCCUGUUAAGUCAGAGGUGAAAGACGGUAGCUCAACUAUCGCAGUGCCUUUGAUACUGAUGGGCUUGAAUGAACUAGAGGUAGGCGG
This 621-nucleotide ribosomal RNA is filed under the name Pedobacter sp. RNAcentral describes it as "bacterial SSU rRNA". It matches the Rfam family "Bacterial small subunit ribosomal RNA", at positions 46 to 664 of the family's 1533-position model. Lineage: Bacteria; Pseudomonadati; Bacteroidota; Sphingobacteriia; Sphingobacteriales; Sphingobacteriaceae. The record is from RNAcentral.